AGCCCGGCUAGCUCAAUCGGCAGAGCGUGAGACUCUUAAUCUCAAGGUUGCGGGUUCGACCCCCGCGUGGGCUG
RNAcentral lists this transfer RNA (74 nucleotides) under Entomophthora muscae. RNAcentral's name for it is "tRNA-Lys". It matches the Rfam family "tRNA". Rfam says of the family: Transfer RNA (tRNA) molecules are approximately 80 nucleotides in length. Their secondary structure includes four short double-helical elements and three loops (D, anti-codon, and T loops). Lineage: Eukaryota; Fungi; Entomophthoromycota; Entomophthoromycetes; Entomophthorales; Entomophthoraceae. The record is from RNAcentral.